GUCACCACUGCAGGAGUCAUUUUGGAAAACUUUUCAAUUCUAGCUUCUAAAAUUGGUAUUUAAUUCAUGAUAUGCUCGGAUAUUGGGAUCAAUAUUUGAACUUCAAGAGAAUUUCUUGGUGGUGUAAUUUCAGGGGAUCUAAAUGCACAGAAAUGUGCUGUUUGGUGGGAAAACAUUAGCAAAAACUGUAAGGUUAAUAGUGUGCAGUUUCUGGAAAUUUGGACUACCUGUAUAUCCACAAGCUUAUCCCGCUCGCUAUCAAUUGCUGAAUUGUUGGCAGAAUAGUUGAUGGACCCCCAGUAUAGUUCACACCGCUGGACACAAUGCCAAAAACAAGCUCAGACUCUUAUAAUUGAAGACUUAUUAUUAUCAGAUCAAGUUUUAGCACAUUAGAAGAGCUGCUUGCACCUCCAGAAGAUUUAGAUAUGCCUCAACAUAAUUAUCAGUGCAAGGGUCGAAAUUUGUGACCUAUUGAUGUGAAAGAGAAUCACUGGCUUAGCACUUACAGAACCAGUCGAGCCAGGCUUUAGGGCGGAUUGUUUGCAAAUUGGUGCGUAGAUGUUGUAAAGAUCGAGUUUUUCAACUUCUGAAUCGCCUUGGUUUUGAUAUUGAAGACAUGUGCUUGGAUAGUUACCUGUAACAAAGUUGCAAUACUUGUUGAUUCCUUCGUGGAUUUCGUCUGAAUUUAGAGAGUGUGUCCAGUAAUAAUCAUAUCUUCCCUUCUUGCCAGUGCUUUCGUCUAUCCAGGCAUUCCCAAGCUGCAUAUCAUGAGUUGAAAUCUUAAUGCAAGCCUUAGAAACAUCUAUCAGAAACCAAGAAUGAAGGUUGAGCUAAGUAGGAGACUAACAGCAAUGCCUUUGAGGUUGAUGAUUGUUUGAUCUGUAUUCUUGUUCUUUGAUAGAAUAGUCUGGGCGAGUUG
Long non-coding RNA from Tripterygium wilfordii, 919 nucleotides. RefSeq lists it as uncharacterized. NCBI's taxonomy places the organism in Eukaryota, Viridiplantae, Streptophyta, Magnoliopsida, Celastrales, Celastraceae. The record is from RefSeq and is a predicted model, not a curated record. The transcript is spliced from 3 exons.